RNAcentral lists this ribosomal RNA (301 nucleotides) under uncultured bacterium. Its description in RNAcentral is "partial 16S ribosomal RNA". It matches the Rfam family "Bacterial small subunit ribosomal RNA", at positions 509 to 808 of the family's 1533-position model. The record is from RNAcentral.
CAGCAGCCGCGGGAAUACGUAGGGUGCGAGCGUUAAUCGGAAUUACUGGGCGUAAAGCGUGCGCAGGCGGUUAUAUAAGACAGAUGUGAAAUCCCCCGGGCUUAACCUGGGACCUGCAUUUGUGACUGUAUAGCUAGAGUACGGUAGAGGGGGAUGGAAUUCCGUGUGUAGCAGUGAAAUGCGUAGAUAUGCGGAGGAACACCGAUGGCGAAGGCAAUCCCCUGGACCUGUACUGACGCUCAUGCACGAAAGCGUGGGGAGCAAACAGGAUUAGAUACCCGCGUAGUCCCUGUCUCUUAUA